This 454-nucleotide ribosomal RNA is filed under the name Pseudomonas koreensis. Its description in RNAcentral is "bacterial SSU rRNA". It matches the Rfam family "Bacterial small subunit ribosomal RNA", at positions 20 to 470 of the family's 1533-position model. Lineage: Bacteria; Pseudomonadati; Pseudomonadota; Gammaproteobacteria; Pseudomonadales; Pseudomonadaceae. The record is from RNAcentral.
CUGCUCAGANUGAACGCUGGCGGCAGGCCUAACACAUGCAAGUCGAGCGGAUGAAGUGAGCUUGCUCAUGGAUUCAGCGGCGGACGGGUGAGUAAUGCCUAGGAAUCUGCCUGGUAGUGGGGGACAACGUUUCGAAAGGAACGCUAAUACCGCAUACGUCCUACGGGAGAAAGCAGGGGACCUUCGGGCCUUGCGCUAUCAGAUGAGCCUAGGUCGGAUUAGCUAGUUGGUGAGGUAAUGGCUCACCAAGGCUACGAUCCGUAACUGGUCUGAGAGGAUGAUCAGUCACACUGGAACUGAGACACGGUCCAGACUCCUACGGGAGGCAGCAGUGGGGAAUAUUGGACAAUGGGCGAAAGCCUGAUCCAGCCAUGCCGCGUGUGUGAAGAAGGUCUUCGGAUUGUAAAGCACUUUAAGUUGGGAGGAAGGGUUGUAGAUUAAUACUCUGCAAUUU